CAUCUUCUCGCCGAGGCCGCCGCGCCCGCCGCGCGCGCCCGUCCGUCCGGCAGCGCACGAGUUAAGGCUGGCACCGCGCCCGGCGGGAGGGGGGCGCCCACCUCCCCUCCCCCCGCGCCGGGCAUGCGGGGCCCGCUGGGCACCGAGGAGGAGCUGCCGCGGCUGUUCGCCGAGGAGAUGGAGAACGAGGACGAGAUGUCAGAGGAGGAAGAUGGUGGCCUCGAAGGUUUUGACGACUUCUUCCCUGCCGAGCCUGUGAGCCUUCCCAAGAAGAAGAAAGCCAAGAAGCUAAAGGAAAGCAAGUCCAAGGGGAAGCGGAAGAAGAAAGAGGGGAGCAACGAUGAGCUGUCAGACAAUGACGAGGACCUGGAGGAGAAGUCCGAGAGCGAGGGGAGCGACUACUCCCCGAACAAGAAGAAGAAGAAGAAAAUCAAGGACAAGAAGGAGAAGAAGGUCAAGCGGAAAAGGAAGGACGAGGAUGAGGGUGACAAUGACGACGGAUGCUUAAAGGAGCCCAAGUCCUCGGGGCAGCUCAUGGCCGAGUGGGGCCUGGACGAUGUAGACUAUCUGUUUUCGGAGGAGGACUAUCACACGCUAACCAACUACAAGGCCUUCAGCCAGUUCCUCCGGCCUCUCAUUGCCAAGAAGAACCCGAAGAUCCCCAUGUCCAAAAUGAUGACUGUCUUGGGGGCCAAGUGGCGGGAAUUCAGCGCCAACAACCCCUUCAAGGGCAGCUCUGCGGUGGCAGCAGCGGCAGCUGUGGCUGCAGCUGUGGAGACAGUCACCAUCGCCCCUCCGCUGGCCAUCAGCCCCCAGCAGGUGCCCCAGCCUGUGCCCAUCCGAAAGGCCAAGACCAAAGAGGGCAAGGGACCUGGCGUGAGGAAAAAGAUCAAAGGCUCCAAAGAUGGGAAGAAGAAGGGGAAGGGGAAGAAGGUGGCGGGGCUCAAGUUCCGCUUUGGGGGGAUCAGCAACAAGAGGAAGAAAGGCUCCUCGAGUGAGGAGGACGAUCGAGAGGAGUCAGACCUGGACAGUGCCAGCAUCCACAGCUCCUCCGUGCGCUCCGAGUGCUCCGCGGCCCUGGGCAAGAAGAGCAGGCGGAGACGCAAGAAGAAGAGGAUUGACGAUGGUGACGGCUACGAGACUGACCAUCAGGAUUACUGCGAGGUGUGCCAGCAGGGUGGGGAGAUCAUCCUGUGUGACACCUGCCCGCGGGCCUACCACCUGGUGUGCCUGGACCCCGAGCUGGAGAAGGCUCCCGAGGGCAAGUGGAGCUGCCCGCACUGCGAGAAGGAGGGCAUCCAGUGGGAGCCGAAGGACGACGAAGACGAGGAGGAGGAGGGCGGCUGUGAGGAGGAGGAGGAUGACCAUAUGGAAUUCUGCCGCGUGUGCAAGGACGGUGGCGAGCUGCUAUGCUGCGACGCCUGCCCCUCCUCCUACCACCUGCACUGCCUCAACCCGCCGCUGCCCGAGAUCCCAAACGGUGAAUGGCUCUGCCCGCGCUGUACUUGUCCCCCGCUGAAGGGCAAAGUCCAGCGGAUUCUACACUGGCGGUGGACGGAGCCCCCAGCGCCCUUCAUGGUCGGGCUGCCGGGACCCGAGGUGGAGCCGGGCCUGCCCCCACCCAAGCCCCUGGAGGGCAUCCCGGAGAGGGAGUUCUUUGUCAAGUGGGCGGGGCUGUCCUACUGGCACUGCUCCUGGGUGAAGGAGCUGCAGCUGGAACUGUACCACACGGUGAUGUACCGCAACUACCAAAGAAAGAACGACAUGGACGAGCCGCCGCCCUUCGACUACGGCUCUGGGGAUGAGGAGGGCAAGAGCGAGAAGAGGAAGAACAAGGACCCGCUCUACGCCAAGAUGGAGGAGCGCUUCUACCGCUACGGCAUCAAGCCCGAGUGGAUGAUGGUCCACCGCAUCCUGAACCACAGCUUCGACAAGAAGGGGGACGUGCACUACCUGAUCAAGUGGAAAGACCUGCCCUACGACCAGUGCACCUGGGAGAUCGAUGACAUCGACAUCCCCUACUACGACAGCCUUAAGCAGGCAUACUGGGGCCACAGGGAGCUGAUGCUGGGGGAGGACGCCCGGCUGCCCAAGCGGCUCAUCAAGAAGGGCAAGAAGCUGAAGGACGACAAACAGGAGAAGCCGCCGGACACGCCCAUCGUGGACCCCACAGUCAAGUUUGACAAGCAGCCAUGGUACAUCGAUGCCACGGGUGGCACGCUGCACCCGUACCAGCUGGAAGGCCUCAACUGGCUGCGCUUCUCGUGGGCACAGGGCACCGACACCAUCCUGGCCGAUGAAAUGGGCCUGGGGAAGACAGUGCAGACCAUCGUGUUCCUCUACUCCCUGUACAAAGAGGGCCACUCCAAGGGGCCCUACCUGGUCAGCGCACCCCUGUCCACCAUUAUCAACUGGGAGCGCGAGUUCGAGAUGUGGGCGCCGGACUUCUACGUGGUCACCUACACGGGGGACAAGGAGAGCCGCUCCGUGAUCCGCGAGAACGAGUUCUCCUUUGAGGACAAUGCCAUUCGGAGCGGGAAGAAGGUGUUCCGCAUGAAGAAAGAAGUGCAGAUCAAGUUCCACGUCCUGCUCACCUCCUACGAGCUCAUCACCAUCGACCAGGCCAUCCUGGGCUCCAUUGAGUGGGCCUGCCUUGUGGUGGAUGAGGCCCACCGGCUCAAGAACAACCAGUCCAAGUUUUUCAGGGUCCUGAACAGCUACAAGAUCGACUACAAGCUGCUGCUGACGGGAACCCCCCUUCAGAACAACCUGGAGGAGCUCUUCCAUCUCCUCAACUUCCUGACCCCGGAGAGGUUCAACAACCUGGAGGGCUUUCUGGAGGAGUUUGCCGACAUCUCCAAGGAGGACCAGAUCAAGAAGCUGCAUGACCUGCUGGGGCCGCACAUGCUCCGGCGGCUCAAGGCGGACGUGUUUAAGAACAUGCCGGCCAAGACGGAGCUCAUCGUGCGCGUGGAGCUGAGCCAGAUGCAGAAGAAGUACUACAAGUUCAUCCUCACACGGAACUUCGAGGCGCUGAACUCCAAGGGGGGCGGGAACCAGGUGUCGCUGCUCAACAUCAUGAUGGACCUGAAGAAGUGCUGUAACCACCCCUACCUCUUCCCUGUGGCUGCAGUGGAAGCCCCUGUGCUGCCCAACGGCUCCUACGAUGGCAGCUCCCUGGUCAAGUCCUCAGGGAAACUCAUGCUGCUGCAGAAGAUGCUGAAGAAGCUGCGGGACGAGGGGCACCGGGUGCUCAUCUUCUCCCAGAUGACCAAGAUGCUGGACCUUCUGGAGGACUUCCUGGAGUAUGAGGGCUACAAGUACGAGAGGAUUGAUGGCGGCAUCACUGGGGGUCUGCGGCAGGAGGCGAUCGACAGAUUCAAUGCCCCAGGGGCCCAGCAGUUCUGCUUCCUCUUGUCCACCCGGGCGGGUGGCCUGGGCAUCAACCUGGCCACAGCAGACACGGUCAUCAUCUAUGACUCGGACUGGAACCCGCACAAUGACAUCCAGGCCUUCAGCCGUGCCCACCGCAUCGGGCAGAACAAGAAGGUGAUGAUCUACCGCUUUGUGACUCGGGCGUCAGUGGAGGAGCGCAUCACGCAGGUGGCCAAGCGCAAGAUGAUGCUGACCCACCUGGUGGUGCGGCCCGGCCUGGGCUCCAAGUCAGGCUCCAUGACCAAGCAGGAGCUGGACGACAUCCUCAAGUUCGGCACGGAGGAGCUCUUCAAGGACGACGUGGAGGGCAUGAUGUCCCAGGGCCAGAGGCCUGUUACACCCGUUCCUGACAUGCAGUCCUCCAAGGGUGGCGCCCUGGCCGCCAGUGCCAAGAAGAAGCACGGUAGCACCCCACCAGGUGACAACAAGGACGUGGAGGACAGCAGUGUGAUCCACUAUGACGAUGCGGCCAUCUCUAAGCUGCUGGAUAGGAACCAGGAUGCUACAGACGACACGGAGCUGCAGAAUAUGAAUGAGUAUCUGAGCUCCUUCAAGGUGGCGCAGUACGUGGUGCGCGAGGAGGAUGGCGUGGAGGAGGUUGAGCGGGAGGUGAUCAAGCAGGAGGAGAACGUAGACCCUGACUACUGGGAGAAGCUGCUGCGGCACCAUUACGAGCAGCAGCAGGAGGACCUGGCCCGCAACCUGGGCAAGGGCAAGCGCAUCCGGAAGCAGGUCAACUACAACGACGCCUCCCAGGAGGACCAGGAGUGGCAGGACGAGCUCUCGGACAACCAGUCUGAGUAUUCCAUUGGCUCCGAAGACGAGGACGAGGACUUCGAGGAGAGGCCGGAGGGCCAGAGUGGACGGCGACAAUCCAGGAGGCAGCUCAAGAGUGACAGGGACAAACCCCUGCCGCCUCUUCUUGCUCGAGUUGGGGGCAACAUUGAGGUGCUGGGCUUCAAUGCACGGCAGCGGAAGGCCUUCCUGAACGCCAUCAUGCGCUGGGGCAUGCCGCCCCAGGACGCCUUCAACUCCCACUGGCUCGUGAGGGACCUGCGGGGCAAGAGCGAGAAGGAGUUCAGAGCCUAUGUGUCCCUCUUCAUGCGGCACCUGUGUGAGCCGGGGGCGGACGGUGCGGAGACCUUCGCGGACGGCGUGCCCCGGGAAGGGCUGUCCAGGCAGCAUGUGCUCACGCGUAUCGGGGUCAUGUCACUGGUUAGGAAGAAGGUUCAGGAGUUCGAGCACGUCAAUGGCAAGUACAGCACCCCGGACCUGGUCCCUGAGGGACCCGAGGUCAAGAAGCCAAGUGAAGCCAUCUCCUCAGACCCCAACACGCCGGUUCCCGCCAGCCCUGCCCACUUGCCACCUGCCCCACUGGGCCUGCCAGACAAAUUGGAUGCCCCACUGGGCUAUGUAGAGGAGAAGGAGCCAGGGCUGCCAAAGCCAAAGAAGCCUCUGGAAACCCAGGCCCCGCCCGCUGUCCUGGACAGAGUGGACGGGGAGGACAAGCAGGAGAGUUUGGACAGCAAGGACAGAGCCCGUGACGAGCGGCCGGAGGAGGCAGAGAAGGCCCAGGGCUCCCCGGAGCAGCUGCCCAAAGCCCCUUGUCUUGCAGAGGAGACACUGCCCGAGAGGGAGAAGGCCCCGGACAAGCUGGACCUCAGCCUCAGUCACAGCAGAGGGGACAGCGGGGACUUCGGGCCAGAUGACUCCAAGACUGACGAGAAGGAGGCCAGUGAGUCCCAGCAGAAUGGUGACAGAGAGGAAGAGGAGGAGGGCAAGAAAGAGGACAAGAACGGGAAAUUCAAAUUCAUGUUCAACAUUGCGGACGGUGGCUUCACAGAGCUGCACACCUUGUGGCAGAAUGAGGAGCGGGCUGCGGUGUCCUCGGGGAAGAUCUACGACAUCUGGCACCGGCGCCACGACUACUGGCUGCUGGCGGGCAUCGUGACGCACGGCUACGCCCGCUGGCAAGACAUCCAGAACGACCCCAGGUACCUGAUCCUCAACGAGCCCUUCAAGUCUGAGAUCCACAAGGGCAACUACCUGGAGAUGAAGAAUAAGUUCCUGGCCCGCAGGUUCAAGCUGCUGGAGCAGGCCUUGGUCAUCGAGGAGCAGCUGCGGAGGGCCGCGUACCUCAACAUGACCCAGGACCCCAACCAUCCAGCCAUGGCCCUCAACGCCCGCCUGGCGGAGGUGGAGUGCCUGGCCGAGAGCCACCAGCACCUGUCCAAGGAGUCCUUGGCCGGGAACAAGCCGGCCAAUGCCGUGCUGCACAAGGGCAAAGCGUCCACUUCUGGCCUCCUGCCCCGCAGUACUGAACCAGCUGGAGGAGCUGCUGAGCGACAUGAAGGCGGACGUGACACGCCUGCCCUCCAUGCUGUCCCGCAUCCCCCCAGUGGCCGCCCGCCUGCAGAUGUCGGAGCGCAGCAUCCUGAGCCGUCUGACCAACCGCGCCGGGGACCCCACCGUCCAGCAGGGCGCUUUCGGCUCCUCCCAGAUGUACAACAGCAACUUUGGGCCCAACUUCCGGGGCCCUGGACCGGGAGGGAUUGUCAACUACAACCAGAUGCCCCUGGGGCCCUAUGUGACUGACAUCUAGCCGUCCCCGCAACACCCGCCCGUUGCAGCGCCCGUGUCCAGCCGAGACACGUUCGCUGGGCCACCUGUCUGACCCCCACGGGAGAGAAAGGCUCCCGACGUGUAGGAGCCGGUGUCAGCCGGGGACAAAGAGGGAAACCGAGUGACGGUAUCACGUGGAGGAGGAGGCCCGGCCUGGCCGGGCCAGAGCCGUGAAGUGCCACCUCGUCAUAAACCAGUGUUCUUCCACGCGGCACCGCACCACGGCCACGCGGAUGUGUCCCUUUCGCCCCUUCCAGAGCGACUUCCUAGAAAAGAUUCAUUUAUCUGUACAUCUUUGCACUUUCCUAUUGAAGACAUGGAUGCUUCUGUCUCGAUGAAAGUCGGAUGCCGUGUGGGAUAUUCCGGCCUGGAGCACCCCUGUCCCCGGCCGUGGACCUGAAGGAAAGCCCCCGACUGCCCCACUGGAGAGGACGCAGUGCCUGGCGACCUAAGGAGCCCUUAGUGUGUCCCUCACCCCAUCCCAUGUGUCUCUGUGGUGCCCUUCUGCUCUGUCCCCUGCCUGCCUGGGACCCCUGUGCCAGUGGGUCAGGUGCGAGGGUGCUGUCCAGCCCGGCGGUCAGGACACUGGCUGGUACCCAGGUCUGAGAGGGUGUUUCCUGCCGCCUUCCUGGGUGUCCCCUGGGAGAAGGUGGGCACAGGUCUGUCCCCGGCCCAGUGUGGGCUCUGUGGUUCCAGCAGCGGGAUGGUGGCCUUAGGGGUGCAUAGCAGGGCCUGAAGCUGUGACAGGUCCACUGCAGGAAGGGCAGGAGGUUCCUUGUCUGCCGGGAUUGUAGUUGUAGGCAGGUGUGGCUCGUGCCCUCGCAGGGAAGGUCGUGGUCAUGGUGGCCCAGGAGGCCCUGGGAGGCUCGUCCUGCUCACCUCUGGGUAUGGACUUCCCUGUCCAAAGUGCCCUGGGCCGCAGAUGCCAAGGAACCAGGCCACCCUUGAGGCGGGACUCCCCCUUCCCCCUCCCUGCAGAGGCUUAGAAGUGACAUUUUCUGCCUAGGGCUGCUGUGGGCUUGCUAAGUUCUUGGAGGGCAGGGGCUGGAUGCGUUGGCCUGUGUCUACCAGGUGCCUGCCUUAUCUCGUGCAGGAGCAGCGUGGAGCCUGGGCCAUUCUGAAAGAGAGGGACCUUGGGCACAGAAUCCUCUGAGUGAGAAGGGACCCUGGGUAGGGCACCAGAGUGGCUCUGGCCAGGCCCUCAGGGGAAGAUGUGGGGGACAGCACUUCUGGGCCCGGCUGGGGCUGGGAGAGGGGCAGUCACCGUAGCUUCUCGUGGAUCCUUUGUCUACAGUGUGGCUCUUCCUGUGAACCUCAGAGGCCAGACUCCCAAAUCCCUUCCACCUUGGCUGGCUCCCCACACUCCUGUCUUCAUCCAGAGCCCCAGAGGCAGAGUGGGGAGCCCCGGGGGUGAGGAGCAUUCCCAGGGGCCCUGAGCAUGGCCUGGGCUUAGUUUUGCUGAUGGCAGAACCGGUGGCCUACACGUAGUGGGGUCCCGGCUGGCAGCCCCUGUUCCCAUCUCCUGCCACGUAGUCCCAGUGCGGCCAGGUCUGUGCAGAACCGAUUUGGGUCAGAAGUCUCGGAAGGUGCCUCGGGGACACAGGGAGCUGGGCUUAGUGUUGGACUUGGAGUCCCUGUGUUCCCAGGACCGCCCGAGGGGAGGAGAUGCCCCUGAACGCCACCUUUGGAAGCUCCCUGCGUGCUCCCCCACAGCCCCGUGGCUGUGGUCAGCAGGUCCUGCCAGGUGUUGCAGGCCGGGCCGAGCAGAGGGUGGGCUGGGGAGCUGGGAGACCAGGGGCUCCGCAGCAGGCGACUGUUGGUCACUUGGCACCUCAGAUGGGAGCCACCCUGUGCCCACUCCCUGCUGGGUGGCCAUGCGGAGCCGGGGGGAGCAGGGCGGAAGUGAGCCCAGCUGGUCACACACCCAGAAGUUUACAGUUGUGGUUGCGUCAGCCCAAAGUCAUUGCGUGUCGUGUUUAUGAUCUCUCCCCCCUUAACUUUCAGAUUUUUUUUUAAACAAAGUAUUUUUUUAGGUGCGAUGACCCAGACAGGGCCCGUUGGGUGUGUGUGUGUCCUGAACGCUUCUCAUAGAGGGCGGAGCCAGCCUGGGGCAGCGGGGGCGUGGGGGUCCCACUCUGCAAGCUGGGGGGUCUCAGCCAGGGUCCCAGCAGGCAGGGGUUGAGCUCUGGACCCCGGGCCCCGCUGUGAGUCAUGACACGUUCCCCGUCCGGGCCCAAGGGAGGCUGGACAGACUGUAGCCAGCACGGUCCCCUUUACUUUGUACUCUGUGUGUAUGUUUUGGUUUCUGUGUUUUAAUAAAUCCUUUGGGAAGGGGA
This is an RNA transcript of Cavia porcellus (domestic guinea pig), 8393 nucleotides long. It is a transcript of the gene named chromodomain helicase DNA binding protein 5, with no coding region annotated. The record is from RefSeq and is a predicted model, not a curated record. The transcript has 42 exons. NCBI's taxonomy places the organism in Eukaryota, Metazoa, Chordata, Mammalia, Rodentia, Caviidae.